This 678-nucleotide ribosomal RNA is filed under the name Staphylococcus aureus. Its description in RNAcentral is "bacterial SSU rRNA". It matches the Rfam family "Bacterial small subunit ribosomal RNA", at positions 73 to 736 of the family's 1533-position model. Lineage: Bacteria; Bacillati; Bacillota; Bacilli; Caryophanales; Staphylococcaceae. The record is from RNAcentral.
GAGAAGCUUGCUUCUCUGAUGUUAGCGGCGGACGGGUGAGUAACACGUGGAUAACCUACCUAUAAGACUGGGAUAACUUCGGGAAACCGGAGCUAAUACCGGAUAAUAUUUUGAACCGCAUGGUUCAAAAGUGAAAGACGGUCUUGCUGUCACUUAUAGAUGGAUCCGCGCUGCAUUAGCUAGUUGGUAAGGUAACGGCUUACCAAGGCAACGAUGCAUAGCCGACCUGAGAGGGUGAUCGGCCACACUGGAACUGAGACACGGUCCAGACUCCUACGGGAGGCAGCAGUAGGGAAUCUUCCGCAAUGGGCGAAAGCCUGACGGAGCAACGCCGCGUGAGUGAUGAAGGUCUUCGGAUCGUAAAACUCUGUUAUUAGGGAAGAACAUAUGUGUAAGUAACUGUGCACAUCUUGACGGUACCUAAUCAGAAAGCCACGGCUAACUACGUGCCAGCAGCCGCGGUAAUACGUAGGUGGCAAGCGUUAUCCGGAAUUAUUGGGCGUAAAGCGCGCGUAGGCGGUUUUUUAAGUCUGAUGUGAAAGCCCACGGCUCAACCGUGGAGGGUCAUUGGAAACUGGAAAACUUGAGUGCAGAAGAGGAAAGUGGAAUUCCAUGUGUAGCGGUGAAAUGCGCAGAGAUAUGGAGGAACACCAGUGGCGAAGGCGACUUUCUGGUCUG